UCCGUAGGUGAACCUGCGGAAGGAUCAUUACUAGAGCAAAGGACAGACAGCGCCCCACAGGAGCUUGCUCCGUGGCGGGCUACCCCUUAGCGGUGUACUCCGCGGGGGUUUAGAGUCGUCGAACCUCUCGAAGAAGUUCGGUCCCAAACUCCACCCUUGAAUAAAUUACCUUUGUUGCUUUGGCAGGUCGCCUCGUGCCAGCGGCUUCGGCUGUUGAGUGCCUGCCAGAGGACCACAACUCUUGUUUUUAGUGAUGUCUGAGUACUAUAUAAUAGUUAAAACUUUCAACAACGGAUCUCUUGGUUCUGGCAUCGAUGAAGAACGCAGCGAAAUGCGAUAAGUAAUGUGGAUUGCAGAAUUCAGUGAAUCAUCGAAUCUUUGAACGCACAUUGCGCCCUCUGGUAUUCCGGGGGGCAUGCCUGUUCGAGCGUCAUUAUAACCACUCAAGCUCUCGCUUGGUAUUGGGGUUCGCGGUUUCGCGGCCCCUAAAAUCAGUGGCGGUGCCUGUCGGCUCUACGCGUAGUAAUACUCCUCGCGAUUGAGUCCGGUAGGUCUACUUGCCAGCAACCCCCAAUUUUUUACAGGUUGACCUCGGAUCAGGUAGGGAUACCCGCUGAACUUAAGCAUAUCAAUAAGCGGAGGAA
Molecule: ribosomal RNA, 644 nt
Filed under: uncultured fungus
Lineage: Eukaryota; Fungi
Description: eukaryotic LSU rRNA
Rfam family: 5.8S ribosomal RNA (bases 280-433)
Source: RNAcentral